UCCCUCAGAGAAAGCACCAGCCCUUGGCUGUUGUUCCCUGACGCUUCUUAUGUUGUGCAGUGCUGGUCUCCUGCUUUAAGGGACGUGCUGCGACUGGACCCCUGGCUGCCCCUCAGUGUCUGCCUCUCAGUGAAGGUGCUUCAAACCACCCACUUCAAGAGUCAUCAAGAUAUUUGGAAGACAAGCAACGAAUGUGUGUCUUUACUGGAGCACCAUCCAACACAGAAGUGCAGACUCUCCUAAUUCUUCCUAGUCUAGAAGCCGUGUAGACAGCGAAGACUUAAGUACAGUGGAGGGAAGGGCCAGCUGAAGACAUCUUUGACUCUGGGCCCUGGGCUAAUUUACUUUACGCUUCAGGAUCAUUACCUGCCAAACAGGGAUCUUGGUCCUGCAAAUCUCAUGGGGUUCUAAGAAGCAAACAAAGGUGUGGCUGGCAAAGCACCCCAAAGUCUUCUGUCUUGGGGUUAUCAUUGCUGCGAUGGAACACCUUGACCAAAGCGACUUGGGGAAGAGAGGAUUUAUUCGGCUUGUGUCCACGUCACUGUUCAUCACUGAAAGAAGUCAGGACAGGAGCUCAAACAGGACAGGAACCUGGAGGCAGGAGCUGAUGCAGAGAUGAUGGAUGGGUGCUGCUUAUUGGAUUGCGCCUCGUGGCUUGCCUGGCCUGCUUUCUUAUAGAACCCAGGACCACGAGCCUAGGCAUGGCACCAACCACAAUGGGCUGGGCCAUCCCUCAUUAAUCACCAAUUAAGAACAGGGACAGGCUUGCCUACAGCCUGAACUUAUAGACACAUCUUCUCAGCUGAAGAUCCCUACUGUGAGAUGACUCUAGUUUGUGUCAAAUUGACAUAAAACUAGCCAGCAUAAUUAUAGAGGAAUUAUUAUGGGUUUUCCCACCAGAUCUGCAGCUUCUGGGAGGAGGGGCAGUGCCUUAGAAUUUUUCAGUAUUUGUAAAACCCACACGAGGCAACUAAAAUCCAAAGCUCUGGUCCUGACUCGGGUUUUCCCACCAGACAAAUGUGUCAGAAGUGAAUCUGGGUCCUCCUGAAAAAGACUGUCAGGCAAGAACCUGAUCACAAGUGGUCGUAUAUAAGGAGAUGCAUUAGGAAACGGCGGGGGCAGUAAUAUGGAGUGCGGGUUCAGCGUAAGGUUAUAUGAGGUGUGGCCUUAGCAGGGCUGAAAGAAGACUGGUUCAAGGUAAGCAGAGCUAACAGCAGAAGGAAGGUCCCGUCCGGAUGCCAUUAUCCAAGGCCCUGAUGAUUAUGCCUGACGCCUAGCUCAGACUUCAUUUUGUUAUUUAAGGCAGAGGCUCGCUCAUUUCCUUUCUUUCCUUCCUUCCCUUUUCCGCUCCUUCCUUCUCUUCUUCUCUCUCUCUUUUGAGACGGGGUCCCAAUUUGCAAAGUCAGUUAAGCUGGCCUUGAACUCAGAUCUACCUGCCUCUGCUGCCUGAAGGCUGAUAUUAAAGGUGAGUUCUGUCAUACUUAAUCAUAACCUCACUAUUUAAACCUGGCUGGUCUGAAACUCACUUUGUAGACAAGGCAAACUUGUAGCAAUGCUCCUGCCUCUUGAUGCAGAGAUUACAACACACAGGGUUUAGAAUAGGCCCCUGGAUUGGAGCUGGUGCGAGCAGAGCGUUUGUUUCCUGUUUAUGACACAGAUUCUGAGUCCAUUAGCUUUCACCUUGAGGCUUUUCUCGCCUCCUCCCUUUGUAGAUCAUCACUUCAUCUACAUUCUGGCAGUGUCUGGCCAUGUGGGGUGCAGUCCACUUAACAACUGACUGCUCGGUUAGUUUACAGAUGUGUCUCUGCUACAAAGUUGUGACUCUGACAAAGGGCUGGAACUGACCAUCUCUGUAUCCUCAGCGUACAGGAGAAGCUGAGACUAUACCAGACGGUGCAAGUCACGGUAUCCUCAAUUGCAGGCAAUACGGAUUAAGCCAUUGCAGGCAAUACGGAUUAAGUACACGUUGGCCAAUAGAAACCUGAUAAGGGGUCUAAAAUCCAUCUUACAUGAAAAUGGAAGAACCAAAGGAAAAAAGAAAAGUAAGUAAGUAAGUAAAUAAAUAAACAAUAAAGAAAACAGAAGAACCAGAAGUCUUUUUUGAAGAGAACACUUCUGAGAAUCCACUUGCUGAUUCUGCAGACUGUUUCUGGGCAUCUCCUCUGUGGAAGGCCUGGGCUGGGGAUGAGGAAGCCACGGGUGCACAGCUACCACCCCGACAGCAGCGCUCGCAGUCUGGAUGGUGUUGACACACAAAUUAGGAACUAUGACUCAGUGUGCUCAGGGCCACAGGCAGGCAUGAAGGUGCCCAGGGAAGGCUUCUAGAUGAUGCUGCAGAAGGGCACAAUUGUGACAAUGUUGGUAACAGAGUUCAGUUUAUGAUAAACUUAUCUUUUAAUAAGAUUGAUUGCUUUUGAAAUGUAUGUGUUUGUCUGGACACAGUGGUUCCAAACUUUAAUCCCGGUAAUGGGGAGACAGAGGCAGGCCAAUUUUGUGGAUAGGUGUCUAGCCUGGUCUACGUAGCAAGUUCCAACUCAUCCAAGGCUACAUACUGUGACUCUGUCUCAAAACAACCACAGUAAUAAAAAUGUAUGCAUA
RNAcentral lists this long non-coding RNA (2598 nucleotides) under Rattus norvegicus (Norway rat). Its description in RNAcentral is "uncharacterized LOC100912071". Lineage: Eukaryota; Metazoa; Chordata; Mammalia; Rodentia; Muridae. The record is from RNAcentral.